This 497-nucleotide ribosomal RNA is filed under the name uncultured bacterium. RNAcentral describes it as "partial 16S ribosomal RNA". It matches the Rfam family "Bacterial small subunit ribosomal RNA", at positions 28 to 507 of the family's 1533-position model. The record is from RNAcentral.
GAUGAACGCUGGCGGCGUGCUUAAUACAUGCAAGUCGAGCGGACGGACGAUACUCUUGCUUCUCUCAUGUUAGCGGCGGACGGGUGUGUAACACGUGUAUAAUCUACCUAUAAUUCGGAUAUAACUUGGGGAAACCGGCGCUUAUACCGUAUAAGAUUUUGAACCGCAUUGUUCAAUGGUAAAAUACGGUCUUGCGGUCAGUUAUAGCUGGAUAUCCGCUGCAUUAGAUAGUUGGUAAGGUAACGGCCUACCAAGGCAACGAUGCAUAGCCGAACGCAGAGAGUGGUCGGCCGCCCGGGAACGGAGACACGCUCAUGACUCCUACGGGAGGCAGCAGACGGGUAUCUUCCGCAAUGGGCGAAAGUCUGACGGAACAAGGCCACGUGAGUGAUGGAGACCUUGGGAUCGUGAAACUCUGUUAUUAGGGAAGAACCUCUGUGUCCGUAAACGAGCCCAGAUUGACGGUAACUAGUCAGAAAGCCCCGGCUAACUACGUG